This 787-nucleotide ribosomal RNA is filed under the name human gut metagenome. RNAcentral's name for it is "bacterial SSU rRNA". It matches the Rfam family "Bacterial small subunit ribosomal RNA", at positions 90 to 891 of the family's 1533-position model. The record is from RNAcentral.
ACUUAGUGGCGGACGGGUGAGUAACGCGUGAGCAACCUGCCUUUCAGAGGGGGAUAACAUUUGGAAACAGAUGCUAAUACCGCAUAAGAUUACAGUACCGCAUGAUACAGUGAUCAAAGGAGCAAUCCGCUGAAAGAUGGGCUCGCGUCCGAUUAGAUAGUUGGUGAGGUAACGGCUCACCAAGUCGACGAUCGGUAGCCGGACUGAGAGGUUGAACGGCCACAUUGGGACUGAGACACGGCCCAGACUCCUACGGGAGGCAGCAGUGGGGAAUAUUGCACAAUGGGCGAAAGCCUGAUGCAGCAACGCCGCGUGAGGGAAGACGGUUUUCGGAUUGUAAACCUCUGUUUUCGGUGACGAACAAAUGACGGUAACCGAGUAGGAAGCCACGGCUAACUACGUGCCAGCAGCCGCGGUAAUACGUAGGUGGCAAGCGUUAUCCGGAAUUACUGGGUGUAAAGGGAGCGCAGGCGGGAUAGCAAGUCAGCUGUGAAAACUAUGGGCUCAACCCAUAAACUGCAGUUGAAACUGUUAUUCUUGAGUGGAGUAGAGGCAAGCGGAAUUCCGAGUGUAGCGGUGAAAUGCGUAGAUAUUCGGAGGAACACCAGUGGCGAAGGCGGCUUGCUGGGCUCUAACUGACGCUGAGGCUCGAAAGUGUGGGGAGCAAACAGGAUUAGAUACCCUGGUAGUCCACACUGUAAACGAUGAUUGCUAGGUGUGGGGGGUCUGACCCCCUCCGUGCCGGAGUUAACGCAAUAAGCAAUCCACCUGGGGAGUACGGCCGCAA